Long non-coding RNA from Mauremys reevesii (Reeves's turtle), 726 nucleotides. RefSeq lists it as uncharacterized. Lineage: Eukaryota; Metazoa; Chordata; Testudines; Geoemydidae. The record is from RefSeq and is a predicted model, not a curated record. The transcript is spliced from 3 exons.
UGGAGAUUGCCAGAGGCAGAAACCUUGGUAGUAAACUGGAGGAAGUCUAGACACCUGCAGCUAGCUCUGUAGAUACACUGCAGAGAGUGAGAAAGGUCCUGCAGGGCCUUGAGUUUGCUAGAGAAAAGUGAAAGAAGCAGGAGAGAGUGAGGAAAGCUCUUUAGGUAGGGUAAGCUGGGAAAGACUACAAAAGCCUACCUGGAAAUGCCUGGGGAAAAGGACAAAUUUCAGGCAGGGGCUAUAGAGAAGCAGACAGACUUUCAGGGAGAAGGGGGCUCUGCCCAGUUGAAACUGGGGUGAAGAUCAUGAGAGUUUGUGGUCUGUUUUCAAAUUUUCUAUUUUUUGUGGUAUUUUGGGCUACUAGGAAAGAGACUGAAGUAGGUUUGGAGCUGGGUGGCCCAGUAUGUACCCAGUGGACUAAAUAAAAGGGACUCCUUGUAGGGAUUGUCUGAUCUAUAUUUGAAGUGGGAGUUAUUACAAGGCCCUGAAGAGUGGUGGACACAGAGAAAGGUACCUCUAGGAACAAAGGGGUGUUCAACACCGCACUGUUUUUUCCAUCCUUCAAUGGGAACUCUUAUUUAGAACUGCCUUCUGUAACAUCUGUAUCAAAGAUCCAGGUUGCAUUGGGGCAGGAACCAAACAGAAUUACAACUAUAUACUUGACAGUGAAAACAACUGCUUUAAAUGGAACUAUCCUUUACAUUUUGUGUGUGCAGUAAGGUGGAG